CACGGGGGUUGCGAGCGUUGUCCGGAAUUACUAGGCGUAAAGGGCAGGCAGGCUGAUCCAUAAGUUUAUCGUUUAAGGCGUCGGCUUAACCGGUCGUAGGGCGGUAGAUACUGUGGAUCUGGAAUGCGGUUGGGGAAGACAGAAUUCCUGGUGUAGCGGUGGAAUGCGCAGAGAUCAGGAGGAAUACCGAAGGCGAAGGCAGUCUUCCAAGCCGUUAUUGACGCUCAACUGCGAAGGUGUGGGUAAUCAAACAGGAUUAGAUACCCUGGUAGUCCCUGA
This 279-nucleotide ribosomal RNA is filed under the name uncultured prokaryote. Its description in RNAcentral is "partial 16S ribosomal RNA". It matches the Rfam family "Bacterial small subunit ribosomal RNA", at positions 524 to 799 of the family's 1533-position model. The record is from RNAcentral.